Molecule: ribosomal RNA, 253 nt
Filed under: uncultured bacterium
Lineage: Bacteria
Description: partial 16S ribosomal RNA
Rfam family: Bacterial small subunit ribosomal RNA
Source: RNAcentral
UACAUGGGGUGCAAACGUUGCUCGGAAUUAUUGGGCGUAAAGCGCACGUAGGUGGUUCGUUAUGUCGGAUGUGAAAGCCCUCGGCUCAACUGAGGAAGUGCAUCCGAAACUGGCGAGCUAGAGUAUGUAAGAGGGUCGCGGAAUUCCCGGUGUAGAGGUGAAAUUCGUAGAUAUCGGGAGGAACACCGGUGGCGAAGGCGGUUCUCUGGGCCUGUACUGACGCUGAGGAGCGAAAGCGUGGGGAGCAAACAGG